GCUCUGCGUGCGGGAGGCUGCGCUUUCAGUCAUUAUUUGGAUUUCGUUUUCCACAUGAAAAUAUUUAGAGAUCCAGCUCUUGGAAGCCAAGGAGAAACUGGCUUUUAAGGUAAAGGAAGGCAAGUUUGCCGAGGUGAUGGGAAGACACCUUGCAACUGCGAAACCUCCAAAUUUACCGGUAGAACCUGGCACACAGCUUUUGCCGUCGUUUGGAGAAUUACUGCGUGCACUGCCGUUCGCUCAGAGCCAUUGUGCACGUUUGUUUCUCUGAUCACUAACAGCCUGCACGUUUCCAGCGUUUCCAGUUUCCAGCGUUGUAUGGGGAUUUCCACGUGUUUCAGUCGCUUAUUAGCUUUUGUGGCUUCAGGGUGAGCCGUGGCGUCUGAGACACCCAGCCACAUCGUUCCGCUGUGGGCGGGGCAUUGAAGACAGGUCUGAAAACGUUCCAGCUCUUGCUGGAAGGGACGUCAUUUCUGAACACGUGAGGGGUCUGAGUUUCUUUACGACAGCAGCUUCUAUUGAGCGAAAUGUACCAUGGCUACUGUGACGUAUCCUGACUAAUGCCGACAGCACAGGGAGCCUUUGCCUGCCGGAGGAAGCGGUGAGGAAGAGGUGGUGCGUCGUGCACUUCCUGUUGCUGUUUUAGGACAGCUUGGACGUAGUUUGUUCCAGGGAAGUGCUGCUGAACCAGGUAAACCCAGCCCCCCAUCUCCAGGAGCAGAGGCUGCAAGGACAGGAAGACAAUGAGGCAAUGGUGUGCUGGGGGAAUCGUGCUAAAGUGAAAGCAUCCUUCGAUCAUUUUUAAGUCAUUCUAGGAUCUUCAGGGCAUCAAAGUUUUGCCUGUGAGCCUCAAUUGGUCUAAUACAAAAAUACAGACUGUGGUUAAUCAUCU
RNAcentral lists this long non-coding RNA (892 nucleotides) under Homo sapiens (human). RNAcentral describes it as "novel transcript". The record is from RNAcentral. Lineage: Eukaryota; Metazoa; Chordata; Mammalia; Primates; Hominidae.